CCUACGGGAGGCAGCAGUGAGGAAUAUUGGUCAAUGGCCGGAAGGCUGAACCAGCCAAGCCGCGUGAAGGACGAAGGUGCCAAGCAUUGUAAACUUCUUUUGUCAAGGGACAAAAUCAGGCUCGAGAGCCUGACCGAGGGUACUGGACGAAAAAGCAUCGGUAAACUCCGUGACAGCAGCCGCGGUAAUACGUAGGAGGCGAGCGUUAUCCGGAUUUAUUGGGUUUAAGGGGUGCGUAGGCGGACUGUUAAGUCAGCGGUAAAAGCCCGGGGCUCAACCCCGGCGCGCCGUUGAAACUGGGUGUCUUGAGAUGUCGAGAGGUAUGCGGAAUGCGCAGUGUAGCGGUGAAAUGCAUAGAUAUCACGCAGAACUCCGAUUGCGAAGGCAGCAUACCGGCGCCCAACUGACGCUGAAGCACGAAAGCGUGGGUAUCGAACAGGAUUAGAUACCCCAGUAGUC
Molecule: ribosomal RNA, 459 nt
Filed under: uncultured bacterium
Lineage: Bacteria
Description: partial 16S ribosomal RNA
Rfam family: Bacterial small subunit ribosomal RNA
Source: RNAcentral